ACUGUCUCUCCUUCCCAGUGGCUUGCUGCUGCCCUGGCUGGAUGCCACCCUCUGCCAGGUGGGGGUGGAGGGCUAGUGUCACUGGUCAGCCAUCCUCCUGUGUGUGUCACAUCAAGAGCUCAAGAACUCUUCCAUUCUCCCAGGAUGUUGUAGCUGGAGACUAAGGACAGCUUUGCACUCGUGAGACAACUCUGGGAUCUGACUCCAGGACCACCUGCACACCUAAGAAUGGAUUAAAUUACAACACAGACACAUCCAUACAAAGCGGCUGCUCUUGGAAGAUGUGUGUGCAUAUACCUGUCCUGUCUCUCCUUUGCACCCUUCAUGGUUUCACACCAGCCCUGCAGCUAUAGAGUCUCCAUUGGACUGUGAGCAUCGGGAAAGCUCUCUGGACCAGCAUGUGCACUUCACCUGAUGCUUAUGGAAGACACACAGCACACACAGGAAAACACCUCCUCCAGGAUUGCUCUAGGCCUCAGAGGAAUUGGCCAGAGCUUCGAAGCAGUGCGGGCAGGGCCUUCCUGACAUUGUGGCAUGACUUCUGCUUGCUGCCUUCUCCCAUAAAACAGUGAUUCCUCCGUAGAAAGCACUCAGCAGUGGGACUUGGCAAAGCCUGGAAUUCUUACCUGGAAAAGCAUUUCUUCAUCUGGAUUUCUGAUGCCACCUACCUCCAUGAAAUGCCUUCUGUAAGAAAAGCCUCAUUGUGUCCACAAGCUGGAGCUGAACACUUAGGGGCAAGUCAGGGAAGCUGUCACCAGUGCAGAAGCCACAUGAUAUCUGCUAUGGCAAAGGUAGUCCUCAGUGCCCAAGGUGGGGACAAUGCUUUCAAAGGAACUCCAAGAGUACCCAUAAGGCUUUAAUGUAGCUUUAACAUCGCAGCGAUCUUGACAAUAAAACAGACUUUAGGGACA
RNAcentral lists this long non-coding RNA (911 nucleotides) under Mus musculus (house mouse). RNAcentral's name for it is "predicted gene 13387, transcript variant 3 (Gm13387)". Lineage: Eukaryota; Metazoa; Chordata; Mammalia; Rodentia; Muridae. The record is from RNAcentral.